GGCCGAGGCAGUUUGGGUGAGAAGUUGGAGGAGGGUGCUGUCCUCUCAGCUGGUCCAGGGGAUGAGACCUGGACGUUCCUUGGGGUCUGUUCGUCCAGGUUUCCUGGUGACCUGGCCCAAAUGGGUGGGAGACCUGGCCCUGCGGGUGGACGGGGGCUUCUGGCCGAGGAGACCUCUGAGGAGCGCCGCAUCCUUUUGCCUGGACAUCUUUGCCCCCAGGUGGAGAUCUCUCUACCUCGGGAUGCAGUGAGCCGCCAACCUGCAGUUUUUAGAGGCUUGCUGCCUUUGAUUUGGUGGGAGGGGCAGAAGGAGGAAUAACGGGGGAGAAAAAUGCCUCAACUGCUCUUCCUGAAGGAGCGAGACCCCCCGCCAACAGAUCACCCAGAAGCUUAGUCUCAGCCUCUCCCACAAGAGGGACCCGGGUGUCUGCUGGGAGUCCGGGAGGGCCGGAGGGUGCCAGGUGAAAGCCCACGUCUGGCGGUCCCCCUCCCUCCUGGCACCAAUGGUGGUCGCCAUCAGGCCGAUGCCCUGGGCUUCUGACUUCACAUCCCAGCUGAGAGUGGGAGGGCCGAACUGCCCUGGUGCCCAGGGCUGUGAGUGACCCAUGGCCUAGGCCGGGGAUGGGGUUGUGUGGAGAAGCUCCAGGGGCCCGCUGGGUGUGAGCGGGGAUGGGGGCAUCUGGAGAGGAGAGCAGGAGGCUGCCCCAGGCCUUCUGUGGCCACAGCCACCUCAGCCCUUCUGUAUAUGGUUCAUUCAGCUCCCCGCCUUCUGCCCCCUACCCUACAGGCCCCAGGCCUUGUCUCUCUGGUGGAGGAGGUCAGCAGGCAGACCCCCAGGACCUCUGUGGGGCCAGGCUCCCGUGAGGGAGGCAGAGCAGAUGAAUUAUCUCGGGAACCCGAGGCUCCGAGAGCAGGUCUUGCUGUGGUUCCCUCGCCCCCAUCAGGCACUUCUCCUGAGGGAGCCCACUCAGAGCCCCCUUCUUUCUGGCGCAGUUGUGAUACCCUGGUGCUGCGAUUGCCUAGACCAGAGCAGAAUAACAGGUCAUUAGAAGGUGCAGGGAUGGACAGAGGGAGGGUCCAGGAAGAGGGAAACAGUUGCUAAAACUUAAACAUUUGCUAAGAGGGUAGAUCUUAUGUUAAGUGUUCUUAUCACAAAACAAACAAAACACACGGUUGCUAAGUUGGCCUUGUUGAUGACAACAUUUGCAGACUGCUUUUAAGGGUGGACACAGAGCCACUCUUUAACCACAGGACACCCAGGGGCCCUGCGAGGCGGCUGCUUGUCAGAGGACCCGCGGAUGGCCUCCUGGCUCAGCGGCUGCUGUCGUGACUUGGUACAAGGGGAGGCUGCACUUGUAUAACACUUUGUUAAAGUGAACCAGGUCUAAAGAAAGAGCCAUGCCCAGGGGCCGGCCUGGUGGCAGAGCUGGUAAGUUCGCACGUUCCACUUCAGUGCAACGGUUUGGAUACCGGGUGCGCUUGGCACCGCUUGGCAAGCCAUGCUGUGGCAGGCGUCCCACGUAUAAAGUAGAGGAAGAUGAGCACGGAUGUUAGCUCAGGGCCAGUCUUCCUCAGCAAAAAGAGGAGGAUUGGCAGCAGAUGUUAGCUCAGGGCUGAUCUUCCUUAAAAGGAAAAAAAAAAAGAGUCUUGCCCAGAGAUGCCCAUUGACUAGUGAACAGCUGGCCACCAUCUUAGUGUGCAGCUGUGGGGGGCCUGUGAAAUGAAUUAUAGCGUGGUUCUAUGACAGAAUAUAACGCAGCCACCAGAAAUGAUGCUGAUGAGGAAUUUCAGUGACAUAGGAAUUGUUUUUGGUAUAAUCUUAAGUAAAAACCAGGAUAUAAAACAAUAUAUGCAUAUACAUAACUUCAGUACAAAACAAAAAGAAACAUAUAGCUCAAGUUCUUUUAAAGAUGUGUAGAAAAAAAUGGAAAGAAAACACAAAAAUCCUUAUCUUAGUUAUUUCUGGGUGGUGGGAUUUUGAGUGAUUUUUAAAGAUUUUUUAGUGCUUUGUGUUUUAUUGUAUUUCCAAAUUUCUGCAAUAAACACUUUCAAAUUUUAAAGUUACUGAAAUGGGGAUGUGGAGUGUCUCCUGUAUUUUAAGAAAGAGUCCCAUUUCUCUGGAAAAGCUUCUCGCGUGCACGUGGAAGAUCUUGGAGUGUAUUUUUAUGUUUUUCAGCCAGAGGUUCCCCGUGGGGGCCCAGUGCAGGGCCUGCUGGAGGAGGCUUCAUGAGGAAGUGACCCGCCCGAGGUCACAUUGUUCCUUGGUUUGCUGAAUGACUAAAGAAUGAAUAAAGAUGGAUGGAGACAGGAUUAGAACCAGGCUCUCAGCUCUUUUCCCCACUCCAGUGACAAACUGCCAAGUCUAAACAUCUAACAUGGCACAUGUGGCCCUGGUAACCUGGCCCAGCUGACCUACUUAGCCUCAUCUCUCCCCACUGAACUGCUGUGGCUCACACACACCACAUUGGUUUUACUCUGUGCCUUUGCUUAUGCUGUUCCCUCUGCCUGGAAUGCCUUUCCCUGCUGCCCCCACCCUCUUUGGUCUAACUUCUACUCACCCUUUUAGAAUCAGCCCCAGUUUCCUGGAAGCCUCCCCCAGCCCCUGGCUGGGCUAGGGGUUCCUUUUCUGCACCCAUAGUACACCGUGCCUACUGCAUUUACUGCACUUAGUUCUGCUUUUCUGUGCACAUGCUGGACCCAGGUCCCCAGCCGGGAGCCCCUUGAGGGAGGACUGCGUCUGACUCACCUCACCCUCAACGCUGGCCCCAGGCUGGGCACGUUUGAGAAGGAGGUCACAGGACCUGGCACUGCCCCUGCUCCCACUCCAGAGGAGAGCCUUGACCGUGUCGUGCCCAUUUCCCUGUCCCAAAUGUGGGAGAGCUGGGCUUCACCAGAUCACUUCUGAGGACCCUGUGGCUGACAAGAUGGCCAGGGCUGGCAUAGGACAGCCUGUGUUGGGUGCCCAAGAUCAGAGGGGGCAAGGGACAUGGUCAGCACCCUCGGCCACCUGCAGCGCCUGGUGGCAGGGAUUGGGGUGGGUGUGGAGCAGAGGAGGUGGAGGCUAUGUUCUGGGCCUCAGCAGACCAGACCCCGCCACAGAGGCUGGCCAGGCGCCGCACAGCAGGGAGGGCGGCCCCCAGCGGUUAUCAAAGGCCAGCAGGGACCCUCCCUCAGAUGGUGACUGCAGGGAGGGAGAAGGGGUCUCCCUGGGGCUGCUGGCUCUGCCACAGCCACUGACAAGCUGGGCCAUCCAUCAGCCCUGAGCACAAUGGGGUCAUUAACCCCUGACCCCAGCCCCUUUCUAGCCAUUUCCUCUGGAGGGCUCCCCUCCCCAAGGCGAAGGGAGGGGGCGAUUCCUGUAUAACCUCCCUCUUCAAUGAGGGGCCCAGGAGCGACGGCCCCCUCGGCUGGCGGGGGACUCACAGCUCUACGGCCCUUCCGAAGUCUGAGGUCCCGCUCCUGCAGCUGCCAUCCUCUGCUGGUGCCUCUCACCCUCGGCCACCCACGGGAGCACCCCUCAAGCCACAGCAGUGUAUUUGGGGAGGGACAGAGAGGGGCCCUGAGAGACAGGGACAGGGACAGAGGCAUUCCGAGAGAGACGCUUAGACGCUUUAGAUCAGAGGUGGCUCUUCAGUUUACACAGGACAUUCAAAGGGACAUUAGAGACCAGUACUGCUUGUGAAAUUCCAUGCAAGAGCCCGAAAUAAAAUAUUAGCAAAACAAAUCCAGCAAUGAAUAAAAAGGACAUAUACAUGAUGACCAAAGUGGGUUUACCCUAGAAACGCAAGGGGGGGUUAGCGCUGGAAAGCCUAUGAGUGCCAUCCAUCGCGUUAAUAAAUUAAGGGAGCAAAGCCGUAUGAUUGUCUCAGCACUAGCACUAAAUGUCAACAUCUACUUAUGAUAAAAAUGUUUUCGCAAACUUGGGAUAGAAGGUAUGUCUGUAGACUCAUGAAGAUUAUCUACAAACACCAGCACACACGCAGGUCUUAAAGGAGCAGUGGACACAUUCUCUAGAAUCAGGGGUGUUUGCCCUCAUCCAUGCGUCUAUUCAGCAUCGUACCCAAGGCUCCAGCUGGGGCAGUAAGACAACGAAACAGCAGCAAGGGAGAAGGAUUGGAAAGGAAGAAGGAAAACUGGCAUUAUUUGAAGAUGAUAUGAUCGUCUACACAGAAAACCCCAAAUAAUCUACGAAUUACCAGAACUAUGAAAAAAAUCCAGCAGAGAUGAUACAGGAUACUCCCAUAUCAAAUCAAUAUCAAAAACUAAUUGCAGCCGCAACAUAUGGAUAAACUUGGAAAAUAUUAUGCUAAGUGAAAGAAGCCAGACACAGAAGGCCACAUGUUAUAGGAUUCCAUUUAUAGGAAAUCUCUAGAAUAGGCAGCUCCAUAGAGACAGAAAGUAGAUUAACGGUUGCCAGGGGCUGAGGAAGGAAAAAAUGAGGAGUGACUGCUCAUGGGUAAAGGUUUCUUUUUGGGGUGAUGAGAAUGUUCUGGAAUUAGAUAGUGGUGAUGGUUGUGCAAGCUUGUGAAUGCACUAAAACCCACUGAAUUGUACACUUUAAAGGGGUGAAUUUUAUAUGGGUAAAUUAUGUCUCAAUAAAAAGUAACUGCAUUUAUAAAUAUCAGAGCAAACAGUGUAAUUUUGUUAAAUCCUUCAUUUACAAUAAUAACAAAAAUUAAAUCUAACAAAAUAUUUGCAGAGGAAAGGAUAAAACGUUACUGUAGUAUAACCAUCCUGGAAAAUGGUUGGGCAAUUUCUUAAAAAAUUAAAUGUACAUUUACCAGGUGACCCAGCAACCACGCUUUUGGGCGUUUGUUACAGAGAAAC
Long non-coding RNA from Equus caballus (horse), 4826 nucleotides. The record is from Ensembl. NCBI's taxonomy places the organism in Eukaryota, Metazoa, Chordata, Mammalia, Perissodactyla, Equidae.